CAAUUCUUGGUACCUAACAC
Molecule: non-coding RNA, 20 nt
Filed under: Rattus norvegicus (Norway rat)
Lineage: Eukaryota; Metazoa; Chordata; Mammalia; Rodentia; Muridae
Source: RNAcentral